CCUACGGGAGGCAGCAGUGGGGGAUAUUGCACAAUGGGGGGAACCCUGAUGCAGCGACGCCGCGUGGGUGAAGGAGGGUUUCGGCGCGUAAAGCUCUAUCGGUAGGGAAGAAGACGUCGGUACCUGACCACUAACUCCUUGCCAACUACGAGCCAGCAGCCGCGGUCAUACGCAGGGGGCAAGGGUUAUCCGGAUCUACGGGGGGUAACGGGGGCGCAGAUGGCUAUGCAAGCCAGGUGUGAAAGCCCGGGGCUCAACCCCGGGACCGCACUUGAGACUUCACGGCUGGAGUACAGGAGGGGCAGGCGGAAUUCCAAGUGUAGCGGUGAAAUGCGUAGAUAUUAGGAGGAACACCGGUGGCGAAGGCGGCCUGCUGGACUGUGACUGACGUUGAGGCCCGAAAGCGUGGGGAGCAAACAGGAUUAGAUACCCUUGUAGUC
This 440-nucleotide ribosomal RNA is filed under the name uncultured bacterium. RNAcentral's name for it is "partial 16S ribosomal RNA". It matches the Rfam family "Bacterial small subunit ribosomal RNA", at positions 338 to 795 of the family's 1533-position model. The record is from RNAcentral.